UGUUCUAAAAUAAUUAUAAUUGGCUGGGAUGUAGCUCCAUAGCAAAGCACUUUCUUAGCAAGUGCAAGGUCCUGGGUUUGAUCCCCAGUACCA
Dipodomys spectabilis (banner-tailed kangaroo rat) is the source of this 93-nucleotide long non-coding RNA. RefSeq lists it as uncharacterized. NCBI's taxonomy places the organism in Eukaryota, Metazoa, Chordata, Mammalia, Rodentia, Heteromyidae. The transcript is spliced from 3 exons. The record is from RefSeq and is a predicted model, not a curated record.